RNAcentral lists this small RNA (170 nucleotides) under uncultured Prevotellamassilia sp. RNAcentral's name for it is "Bacteroidales-1 6S-Bacteroidales RNA suggested". It matches the Rfam family "Bacteroidales-1 6S-Bacteroidales RNA suggested". Lineage: Bacteria; Pseudomonadati; Bacteroidota; Bacteroidia; Bacteroidales; Prevotellaceae. The record is from RNAcentral.
GCUGUACUGGUUCGAUUGGGAUACUCAUCAAUAAUUACCUGAAAACCGAGAAUGCCGACCUUGAUAAUGGCGUGCCAACAUGCAUUUGCAGAGUUGGAUUACAGAGUCUUGGAGGCGCUCAAAUCUUAUUUUCUCUCGGAGUUUCAUCACAUCACCAGUGCAGCCCUUUU